UCCCUGAUAGCUCAGUUGGUAAAGAAUCCGCCUGCAAUGUAGGAGACCCCGGUUUGAUUCCUGGUUCGGGAA
Molecule: non-coding RNA, 72 nt
Organism: Bos taurus (domestic cattle)
Lineage: Eukaryota; Metazoa; Chordata; Mammalia; Artiodactyla; Bovidae
Source: Rfam